Molecule: ribosomal RNA, 497 nt
Filed under: uncultured bacterium
Lineage: Bacteria
Description: partial 16S ribosomal RNA
Rfam family: Bacterial small subunit ribosomal RNA
Source: RNAcentral
GAUGAAUGCUGGCGGCGUGCCUAAUACAUGCAAGUCGAGCGAACGGACGAGAAGCUUGCUUCUCUGAUGUUAGCGGCGGACGGGUGAGUAACACGUGGAUAACCUACCUAUAAGACUGGGAUAACUUCGGGAAACCGAAGCUAAUACCGGAUAAUAUUUUGAACCGCAUGGUUCAAAAGUGAAAGACGGUCUUGCUGUCACUUAUAGAUGGAUCCGCGCUGCAUUAGCUAGUUGGUAAGGUAACGGCUUACCAAGGCAACGAUGCAUAGCCGACCUGAGAGGGUGAUCGGCCACACUGGAACUGAGACACGGUCCAGACUCCUACGGGAGGCAGCUGUAGGGAAUCUUCCGCAAUGGGCGAAAGCCUGACGGAGCAACGCCGCGUGAGUGAUGAAGGUCUUCGGAUCGUAAAACUCUGUUAUUAGGGAAGAACAUAUGUGUAAGUAACUGUGCACAUCUUGACGGUACCUAAUCAGAAAGCCACGGCUAACUACGUG